GCUGGGCGUGGUGGUGCGCGCCUGUAAUCCCAGCUACUCUGGAGGCUGAGGCAGGAGAAUCGCUUGAACCCAGGAGUCAGAGGUUGCAGUGAGCCGAGAUCGCGCCAUUGCAUUCCAGCCUGGGCAAUAGAGUGAGACUUCGUCUCAA
Molecule: non-coding RNA, 148 nt
Filed under: Nomascus leucogenys (northern white-cheeked gibbon)
Lineage: Eukaryota; Metazoa; Chordata; Mammalia; Primates; Hylobatidae
Source: Rfam by way of RNAcentral